This 161-nucleotide ribosomal RNA is filed under the name uncultured Enterobacteriaceae bacterium. RNAcentral's name for it is "partial 16S ribosomal RNA". It matches the Rfam family "Bacterial small subunit ribosomal RNA", at positions 372 to 525 of the family's 1533-position model. Lineage: Bacteria; Pseudomonadati; Pseudomonadota; Gammaproteobacteria; Enterobacterales; Enterobacteriaceae. The record is from RNAcentral.
UGGGCGCAAGCCUGAUGCAGCCAUGCCGCGUGUAUGAAGAAGGCCUUCGGGUUGUAAAGCACUUUCAGCGGGGAGGAAGGGAGUAAAGUUAAUACCUUUGCUCAUUGACGUUACCCGCAGAAGAAGCACCGGCUAACUCCGUGCCAGCAGCCGCGGUAAUA